GCCAGGUGCAGUGGUGCAUGCCUGUAAUCACAACAGCUGGGGAGGCUGAGGCAGGAGGAUCAUGAGUUCAAAGCCAGCCUCAGCAAAAACCAGGUGCUUAAGCAACUCAGUGAGAUCCUGUCUCUA
RNAcentral lists this small RNA (126 nucleotides) under Marmota monax (woodchuck). Lineage: Eukaryota; Metazoa; Chordata; Mammalia; Rodentia; Sciuridae. The record is from RNAcentral.